AUCACACAGCUGCCAUAACAUCCGCCAACAACCUGAACCCAGCCGCCCCUCCAUUCACGCCACUCAACUCCUCCAGAUCGAGCAGCAGCAAAGCAGUGAGCUGCUGCUUCAUCUUCCGUCGACCAUCCAGUUCGAGCAGCAGUGAAGCAGCGAGCUGCUACCUCAUCUUCAUCGUCUUCACUUCGUCGUCCAGCUGAGCAGCAAGGUCAACCAUCCGCUGCUGUUGCUUCAUCAUUUCUACGCUGCUCAAACCAGCUCUUCUCCCUCUCUUAAAACAUACACAGCUGGCCGAAAAUUUCAGUGGGAAAUAGUGAC
RNAcentral lists this long non-coding RNA (315 nucleotides) under Nicotiana benthamiana. RNAcentral describes it as "long non-coding RNA (NBEN_LNC040272)". Lineage: Eukaryota; Viridiplantae; Streptophyta; Magnoliopsida; Solanales; Solanaceae. The record is from RNAcentral.